RNAcentral lists this ribosomal RNA (254 nucleotides) under uncultured bacterium. RNAcentral describes it as "partial 16S ribosomal RNA". It matches the Rfam family "Bacterial small subunit ribosomal RNA", at positions 524 to 777 of the family's 1533-position model. The record is from RNAcentral.
UACGUAGGGUGCGAGCGUUGUCCGGAAUUACUGGGCGUAAAGAGCUCGUAGGUGGUUUGUCGCGUUGUUCGUGAAAACCGGGGGCUUAACCCUCGGCGUGCGGGCGAUACGGGCAGACUUGAGUACUGCAGGGGAGACUGGAAUUCCUGGUGUAGCGGUGGAAUGCGCAGAUAUCGGUAGGAACACCAGUGGCGAAGGCGGUCUCCUGGGGCAUUCUUGACGCUGAUGCGCGAAAGCUGGGGGAGCGAACGGGG